AAAUUGAAGAGUUUGAUCAUGAAACCAGAUUGAACGCUGAAAGCGGCGACUAACACAUACAAGUCGAACAGUAACGGAAGCAGCUUUGCUGCUUUGCUGACAGUGGCGGACGAAGGUGGUAAUGUCUGAAACUGCCUGAUGGAGGAUAACUACUGGAAACGUUGGCUAAUACCGCAUAACGUCGCAAGACCAAGAGGGGCAACCUGGGCCUCUUGCCAUCAAGAUGUGCCCAGAUAGGGAUUAGCUUGUUGGUGAGGUAACGGCUCACCAGGCGACGCGUCCUGCUUUGGUGAGAGGAUGACCAGCCACACUGGAACUGGGAAAAAGCGGUCCAGACUCCUACGGGAGGCAGCAGUGGGAAUAUUGCACAAUGGAAGCAAACGAUGCAGCCAUGCCGCGUGUAUGAAGAAGGCCUUCGGGUUGUAAAGAAUACUUUCAGCGGGGAGGAAGAUUGUUUGGUUAAUAACCACAGCAGUGACGUUACCCGCAGAAGCUUCGGCUUUAACUCCGUGCCAGCAGCCGCGGUAAUACGGAGGGUGCAAGCGUUAAUCGGAAUUACUGGGCGUAAAGCGCACGCAGGCGGUCUAUUCAAGUCGGAUGUAAUCCCCGGGCUCAACACAGGAACUGCAUUCGAAACUGGCAGGCUUGAGUCUUCAGCCAGGGGGUAAAUUCCGGGUGUAGCGGUGGAGAAAUGCGUAGGGUCUGGAGGAGGGGCUACAUUUGGCGAAGGCGGCCCCACGGACAAAGACGCUUGACGCUCAGGUGCAGCGUGGGGAGCAAGCAAGUUGAAUACCACGGUAGUCACGCCGUAAACGUCAUCUGCUGGAGGUUGUGCCCUUGAGGCGUGGCUUCCGGAGCUAACGCGUUAAGUAGACCGCACGGGGAGUACGGCCGCAAGGUUAAAACUCAAAUGAAUUGACGGGGGCCCGCACAAGCGGUGGAGCAUGUGGUUUAAUUCGAUGCAACGCGAAGAACCUUACGGUCUUGACAUCCACGGAAGUUUUCAGAGAUGAGAAUGUGCCUUCGGGAACCGUGAGACAGGUGCUGCAUGGCUGUCGUCAGCUCGUGUUGUGAAAUGUUGGGUUAAGUCCCGCAACGAGCGCAACCCUUAUCGCUUUGUUGCCAGCGGUUAGGCCGAAGAACUCCAAAGGGAGACUGCCAGUGAUAAACUGGAGGAAGGUGGGGAUGACACGUCCAAGUCAUCAUGGCCCACUUGACGGGGCUACACGUGCUACAAUGGCGCAUACAAGAGAAGCGACCUCGCGAGUACAAGCGGGCCUCAUAAAGUGCGUCGUGGUCGGAUGAGUCUCUACGCUCGACUCCAUGAAGUCGGAAUCGCUAGUAAUCGUGGAUCGAACACGGUGAAUACGUUCAGGCCUUGUACGCACCGCCCGUCACACACCAUGGGGUGGGUUGCAAAAGAAGUAGGUAGCUUAACCUUCGGGAGGGCGCUUACCACUUUGUGAUUCAUGACUGGGGUGAAGUCAAGCUGAAAACAAGGUAACCGUAGGGGAACCUGCGGUUGGAUCACACCUGCG
This 1538-nucleotide ribosomal RNA is filed under the name Salmonella enterica subsp. enterica. RNAcentral's name for it is "16S ribosomal RNA". It matches the Rfam family "Bacterial small subunit ribosomal RNA". The record is from RNAcentral. Lineage: Bacteria; Pseudomonadati; Pseudomonadota; Gammaproteobacteria; Enterobacterales; Enterobacteriaceae.